Paramuricea clavata is the source of this 750-nucleotide non-coding RNA. The record is from the annotation of a GenBank genome assembly. Lineage: Eukaryota; Metazoa; Cnidaria; Anthozoa; Malacalcyonacea; Plexauridae.
GGCGCUCUCAGGAGACUCAGGAGAUAAAUAAUGGGAUUUAUUUAGACGAUGGGUUUGACAUCGACAGAGACAUACAAACUUGUACAAGCAAUUCAGGCUUAAUACUUUCAGAUCUAUCUAGCGCUUGGUUGUUAGUUAAUGUCGAGAAAUGCGUAUGGCAGUCCACACAAUACCUUACUUGGUUCGGAUUAAACUGGAAUGGGCAAACCGGCACCAUUAGUAUUAUUAGUGAACGCAUUGUUAAAUUUGACAAGGUUCUAUUUCUUUCUUGACUGUUACAACUGCAGAGUGCAAAAAUUCUAUUUAAGAUUUUGGAACCCAGGUUCUGCCGGGAUUGAUGCACUCUUUCCUUCGUGGGGGCAAAUGCUCUUUUAGUACCCCCGGUCCCUCGGGUAUAUCGGGUGUUAGCGUUUAUUUCACAGUCGUAAAGCCAUUUUUGUCGUGCUUUAAUGGCCUUCUGCCCUUUUCUUAUUUCCCAUUUUUUUAGUUUACAUAAAAGAUUACAUUGUAUUAGUCGGUAACUAAGUUUUAAUGCAUGGCCAUAAUCAUAAGUUCCUUCUCGGUUCCAGCUCGUGCAUGGACAGGGUCUCGUAGUCUGUUCUUAAGUGUGUCGGUUAUUUCAACUUAAUUUUUAUUUUGGUGCAUGAAUUCCUGUUAAUGCAUGAUAAUGUAGGAGUGUCUGUUGUUGUUAGUGUGUACUUAACUUAAUACAUAAAUAUACUUGUGUCAAACUGUUACAUUUGGCGGUUG